CCUACGGGUGGCAGCAGUGGGGAAUAUUGGGCAAUGGGCGCAAGCCUGACCCAGCAACGCCGCGUGAAGGAAGAAGGCUUUCGGGUUGUAAACUUCUUUUGACAGGGAAGAGUAGAAGACGGUACCUGUCGAAUAAGCCACGGCUAACUACGUGCCAGCAGCCGCGGUAAUACGUAGGUGGCAAGCGUUGUCCGGAUUUACUGGGUGUAAAGGGCGUGUAGCCGGGUUGACAAGGCAGAUGUGAAAUCCUGGGGCUUAACCGCAGAACUGCUUUUGAAACUGUUGAUCUUGAGUCCAGGAGAGGCAGGCGGAAUGCCUAGUGUAGCGGUGAAAUGCGUAGAUAUAAGGAGGAACACCAGUGGCGAAGGCGGUUUGCUGGACUGCAACUGACGGUGAGGCGCGAAAGCGUGGGGAGCAAACAGGAUUAGAUACCCUUGUAGUC
This 442-nucleotide ribosomal RNA is filed under the name uncultured bacterium. RNAcentral describes it as "partial 16S ribosomal RNA". It matches the Rfam family "Bacterial small subunit ribosomal RNA", at positions 338 to 795 of the family's 1533-position model. The record is from RNAcentral.